GACGAACGCUGGCGGCGUGCUUAACACAUGCAAGUCGAGCGGAGCGGCGAACGGGUGAGUAACGCGUGAGUAACUGCCCCCCUCUCUGGGAUUACAGUUGGAAACGGCUGCUAAUACCGGAUAGUGGUGGAUGACUCGCGUCCUAUCAGCUUGUUGGGGGGGUAGUGGCCUACGAAGGCGACGACUGGUAGCCGGCCUGGGAGGGCGACCGGCCACAUUGGGCUGAGAGACGGCCCAAAGGCCUACGGGGGGCAUCGGUGGGAAAUAUUGCACAAUGGGGCAAACCGUGAUGCAGCAACGCGCGUGCGGGAUGACGGCCGUCGGGUUGUAAACCGCUUUCAGCCAUGACGCGGUAGUGGCAGAAGAAGCACCGGCUAACUACGUGCCAGCAGCCGCGGUAAUAC
This 404-nucleotide ribosomal RNA is filed under the name uncultured bacterium. RNAcentral describes it as "partial 16S ribosomal RNA". It matches the Rfam family "Bacterial small subunit ribosomal RNA", at positions 28 to 526 of the family's 1533-position model. The record is from RNAcentral.